GGGGCGAUGUCCGGAUUAUUGGGCGUAAGAGCUCGUAGGCGGUCUGUCGCGUCGGCUGUGAAAACUCGGGGCUCAACCCCGAGCCUGCAGUCGAUACGGGCAGACUAGAGUGCUGUAGGGGAGACUGGAAUUCCUGGUGUAGCGGUGAAAUGCGCAGAUAUCAGGAGGAACACCGGUGGCGAAGGCGGGUCUCUGGGCAGUAACUGACGCUGAGGAGCGAAAGCGUGGGGAGCGAACAGGAUUAGAUACCCUGGUAGUCCACGCCGUAAACGGUGGGUGCUAGGUGUAGGGGGUAUUCCACGCCCUCUGUGCCGCAGCUAACGCAUUAAGCACCCCGCCUGGGGAGUACGGCCGCAAGGCUAAAACUCAAAGGAAUUGACGGGGGCCCGCACAAGCAGCGGAGCAUGUGGCUUAAUUCGACGCAACGCGAAGAACCUUACCAAGGCUUGACAUACACCGAAAACUCGUAGAGAUACGGGGUCCGCAAGGGCGGUGUACAGGUGGUGCAUGGUUGUCGUCAGCUCGUGUCGUGAGAUGUUGGGUUAAGUCCCGCAACGAGCGCAACCCUCGUUCUAUGUUGCCAGCGCGUUAUGGCGGGGACUCAUAGGAGACUGCCGGGGUCAACUCGGAGGAAGGUGGGGACGACGUCAAAUCAUCAUGCCCCUUAUGUCUUGGGCUGCACACAUGCUACAAUGGCCGGUACAAAGGGCUGCUAAACCGCGAGGUGGAGCGAAUCCCAAAAAGCCGGUCUCAGUUCGGAUUGGGGUCUGCAACUCGACCCCAUGAAGUCGGAGUUGCUAGUAAUCGCAGAUCAGCAACGCUGCGGUGAAUACGUUCCCGGGCCUUGUACACACCGCCCGUCACGUCACGAAAGUCGGUAACACCCGAAGCCAGUGGCCCAACUCGCAAGAGAGGGAGCUGUCGAAGGUGAGGUCAGCGAUUGGGGUGAAGUCGUAACAGGGUAACCC
This 968-nucleotide ribosomal RNA is filed under the name uncultured bacterium. RNAcentral describes it as "bacterial SSU rRNA". It matches the Rfam family "Bacterial small subunit ribosomal RNA", at positions 535 to 1502 of the family's 1533-position model. The record is from RNAcentral.